Long non-coding RNA from Penaeus chinensis, 423 nucleotides. RefSeq lists it as uncharacterized. The record is from RefSeq and is a predicted model, not a curated record. NCBI's taxonomy places the organism in Eukaryota, Metazoa, Arthropoda, Malacostraca, Decapoda, Penaeidae. The transcript is spliced from 2 exons.
CUCAACCCGGCGCUCCGCUAUAUAAACCGUUGCAACGGCUCGUGCUGCACAGAUUUUGCCAGUCAGCUGAACGUAACAUCUUGAAGCAAAAUGAAAUUCGUGUCGCUCCUUCUCGCUGUGGCGGUGGCUCUGUCAGCCCUGCUGGGGGCAGCACGAGCCAUGCCUGAGCCAGAAGCCCUGGCCGAUGCUGAGGCCUCGGCCUACGCAGGCUACGGAGGCCACUACGGAGGCCACUAUGGAGGCUAUCGUAGAGGAGGCCACUACGGAGGCUACAGGCGAGGGUAUGGGAGGAGGUAAGGCUCCGAAAGUAACCGUCAACCAACCGAGACCGACCGACCGCUACUUCUUCACCAAUGUGCUCAUGGAGACGACAAGGCAAGCCAACGUUGUAACGUUACAAAUUAAAAGAUUGAUUUCCCUUUA